This 96-nucleotide unclassified non-coding RNA is filed under the name Mycobacterium terrae. RNAcentral's name for it is "Mycolicibacter terrae partial 16S-23S ribosomal RNA intergenic spacer". Lineage: Bacteria; Bacillati; Actinomycetota; Actinomycetes; Mycobacteriales; Mycobacteriaceae. The record is from RNAcentral.
GGGGUGUGGUGUUUGAGUUGUGGAUAGUGGUUGCGAGCAUCUAACAAGCAGAUUUAAUUGGUGUGUUUGUUUUGCAAUUUUUGUUUUCUUGGUUUU